GGUUGGGUAGCUCAGCUGGAUAGAGCAACAGCCUUCUAAGCUGUGGGUCGAGGGUUCGAAUCCCUCCUCAAUCACCA
This 77-nucleotide transfer RNA is filed under the name Paludibacteraceae bacterium. RNAcentral's name for it is "tRNA-Arg". It matches the Rfam family "tRNA". Rfam says of the family: Transfer RNA (tRNA) molecules are approximately 80 nucleotides in length. Their secondary structure includes four short double-helical elements and three loops (D, anti-codon, and T loops). RNAcentral also lists the same sequence under 1 other name. Lineage: Bacteria; Pseudomonadati; Bacteroidota; Bacteroidia; Bacteroidales; Paludibacteraceae. The record is from RNAcentral.